AUACUGGCUUGUCAAAGCCUGAUCUAAUCAGAUCUCAGAAGCUAAGCAAGGACUGGCCUGGUUAAUACUGGAAUGGGAGACCUCUGGUAAUACUGGGU
This 98-nucleotide ribosomal RNA is filed under the name Periophthalmus magnuspinnatus. Lineage: Eukaryota; Metazoa; Chordata; Actinopteri; Gobiiformes; Gobiidae. The record is from RNAcentral.